GACGAACGCUGGCGGCGUGCUUAACACAUGCCAGUCGAACGGAAAGGCCUCUUUCGGGGGGUACUCGAGUGGCGAACGGGUGAGUAACACGUGAGUAACCUGCCCUUGACUUUGGGAUAACUUCAGGAAACUGGGGCUAAUACCGGAUAGGAGCUCCUGCUGCAUGGUGGGGGUUGGAAAGUUUCGGCGGUUGGGGAUGGACUCGCGGCUUAUCAGCUUGUUGGUGGGGUAGUGGCUUACCAAGGCUUUGACGGGUAGCCGGCCUGAGAGGGUGACCGGCCACAUUGGGACUGGGAUACGGCCCAGGCUCCUACGGGAGGCAGCAGUGGGGAAGAUUGCACAAUGGGUGGGAGCCUGAUGCAGCAACGCCGUGGGCGGGAGGACGGCCUUCGGGUUGGAAACCGCUUUCGCUCAUGACGAAGCUUUGUGUGACGGUAGUGGGUAAAGAAGCACCGGCUAACUACGUG
RNAcentral lists this ribosomal RNA (467 nucleotides) under uncultured bacterium. RNAcentral's name for it is "partial 16S ribosomal RNA". It matches the Rfam family "Bacterial small subunit ribosomal RNA", at positions 28 to 507 of the family's 1533-position model. The record is from RNAcentral.